CAAGACCAGAGGAGCCACUUUAUCGAUCUGGGUGGUGCCAACUGAUCCAUCAAGUGCCAGCCUACACAUUAGCAUAAUGUGGAUUUUCCAAGCUACUUUUAUACAUGAAAUAAUAUAAGCUGUAAUGAGUGAAAGUAAGCACGGAUUUUUCAGCAGUACUUUCCAGAAAUUUUGAUGGAAGAUCAGCUUUUUGUAGCUGGAGAAGUUGGAUUAAAAAAUGACCACAGAGAAAUUGAAAGAUGUCCAGUAGAAGGUCUGUAGACUUCAUUCCAAUUCAGCAUAUCCAUGAGGUCACCAAGAAAUUAAGUCACCAAGAAGUUAAUUUCCUCAAGAAAGGACCCUUGAAGAAAGUUGCUAUUAUUAAGUCGAUUAGGGUGUAGUGGCAGGAAAAAAAGUAAGGACUGAUUUCUAAGAAACAUAAAAAUGAAAACAUUAAAGAAAAACCCUAAAUUUCAUUGAAGAAUAAAUUGUGGGACUGAG
RNAcentral lists this long non-coding RNA (480 nucleotides) under Homo sapiens (human). Its description in RNAcentral is "HSALNT0351422". The record is from RNAcentral. Lineage: Eukaryota; Metazoa; Chordata; Mammalia; Primates; Hominidae.